UACGUAGGUGGCAAGCGUUGUCCGGAUUUACUGGGCGUAAAGGGCGUGCAGGCGGUUUGUUAAGUGCAGAGUGAAAGCUCCCGGCUCAACUGGGAGAGGUCUUUGCAUACUGGCAAACUCGAGGGAGGCAGAGGAAAGUGGAAUUCCCGGUGUAGUGGUGAUAUGCGUAGAUAUCGGGAGGAACACCUGUGGCGAAGGCGGUUCUCUGGGACGGUACUGACGCUGAGACGCGAAAGCGUGGGGAGCGAACGGG
Molecule: ribosomal RNA, 253 nt
Filed under: uncultured bacterium
Lineage: Bacteria
Description: partial 16S ribosomal RNA
Rfam family: Bacterial small subunit ribosomal RNA
Source: RNAcentral